This 492-nucleotide ribosomal RNA is filed under the name uncultured bacterium. RNAcentral's name for it is "partial 16S ribosomal RNA". It matches the Rfam family "Bacterial small subunit ribosomal RNA", at positions 29 to 507 of the family's 1533-position model. The record is from RNAcentral.
AGUGAACGCUGGCGGUAGGCCUAACACAUGCCAGUCGAACGGCAGCACAGUAAGAGCUUGCUCUUACGGGUGGCGAGUGGCGGACGGGUGAGGAAUACAUCGGAAUCUACUUUUUCGUGGGGGAUAACGUAGGGAAACUUACGCUAAUACCGCAUACGACCUACGGGUGAAAGCAGGGGAUCUUCGGACCUUGCGCGAUUGAAUGAGCCGAUGUCGGAUUAGCUAGUUGGCGGGGUAAAGGCCCACCAAGGCGACGAUCCGUAGCUGGCCUGAGAGGAUGAUCAGCCACACUGGAACUGAGACACGGUCCAGACUCCUACGGGAGGCAGCAGUGGGGAAUAUUGGACAAUGGGCGCAAGCCUGAUCCAGCCAUACCGCGUGGGUGAAGAAGGCCUUCGGGUUGUAAAGCCCUUUUGUUGGGAAAGAAAAGCAGCAGGUUAAUACCCCGCUGUUCUGACGGUACCCAAAGAAUAAGCACCGGCUAACUUCGUG